CCUACGGGUGGCAGCAGUGAGGAAUAUUGGUCAAUGGACGAGAGUCUGAACCAGCCAAGUAGCGUGAAGGAUGACUGCCCUAUGGGUUGUAAACUUCUUUUAUAUGGGAAUAAAAUGUUCCACGUGUGGGAUUUUUUAUGUACCAUAUGAAUAAGGAACGGCUAACCCCGGGCCCGCAGGCGCGGUAAUACGGAGGAAUCGAGCGUUAUUCGGAUUUUAUGGGGUUAAAGGGAGCGGUGGUGGAUAGUUAAGGCAGUCGGGAAAGUUUGGGGGUCAAACGUAAAAUUGCAGUUGAAACUGGCAGUCUUGAGUACAGGAGAGGUGGGCGGAAUGCGUGGUGUAGCGGUGAAAUGCUUAGAUAUCACGAAGAACUCCGAUUGCGAAGGCAGCUCACUGGACUGCAACUGACACUGAGGCACGAAAGUGUGGGUAUCAAACAGGAUUAGAUACCCCUGUAGUC
Molecule: ribosomal RNA, 460 nt
Filed under: uncultured bacterium
Lineage: Bacteria
Description: partial 16S ribosomal RNA
Rfam family: Bacterial small subunit ribosomal RNA
Source: RNAcentral